RNAcentral lists this ribosomal RNA (496 nucleotides) under uncultured bacterium. RNAcentral describes it as "partial 16S ribosomal RNA". It matches the Rfam family "Bacterial small subunit ribosomal RNA", at positions 28 to 507 of the family's 1533-position model. The record is from RNAcentral.
GAUGAACGCUGGCGGCGUGCCUAAUACAUGCAAGUCGAGCGAACAGACGAGGAGCUUGCUCCUCUGACGUUAGCGGCGGACGGGUGAGUAACACGUGGAUAACCUACCUAUAAGACUGGGAUAACUUCGGGAAACCGGAGCUAAUACCGGAUAAUAUAUUGAACCGCAUGGUUCAAUAGUGAAAGACGGUUUUGCUGUCACUUAUAGAUGGAUCCGGGCGCAUUAGCUAGUUGGUAAGGUAACGGCUUACCAAGGCAACGAUGCGUAGCCGACCUGAGAGGGUGAUCGGCCACACUGGAACUGGGACACGGUCCAGACGCCUACGGGAGGCAGCAGUAGGGAAUCUUCCGCAAUGGGCGAAAGCCUUACGGAGCAACGCCGCGUGAGUGAUGAAGGUCUUCGGAUCGUAAAACUCUGUUAUUAGGGAAGAACAAAUGUGUAAGUAACUAUGCACGUCUUGACGGUACCUAAUCAGAAAGCCACGGCUAACUACGUG